Molecule: ribosomal RNA, 468 nt
Filed under: uncultured bacterium
Lineage: Bacteria
Description: partial 16S ribosomal RNA
Rfam family: Bacterial small subunit ribosomal RNA
Source: RNAcentral
GACGAACGCUGGCGGCGUGCUUAACACAUGCAAGUCGAACGGAAAGGCCCUGCUUUUGUGGGGUGCUCGAGUGGCGAACGGGUGAGUAACACGUGAGUAACCUGCCCUUGACUUUGGGAUAACUUCAGGAAACUGGGGCUAAUACCGGAUAGGAGCUCCUGCUGCAUGGUGGGGGUUGGAAAGUUUCGGCGGUUGGGGAUGGACUCGCGGCUUAUCAGCUUGUUGGUGGGGUAGUGGCUUACCAAGGCUUUGACGGGUAGCCGGCCUGAGAGGGUGACCGGCCCCAUUGGGCCUGGGAUACGGCCCAGACUCCUACGGGAGGCAGCAGUGGGGAAUAUUGCACAAUGGGCGGAAGCCUGAUGCAGCAACGCCGCGUGCGGGAUGACGGCCUUCGGGUUGUAAACCGCUUUCGCCUGUGACGAAGCGUGAGUGACGGUAAUGGGUAAAGAAGCACCGGCUAACUACGUG